ACCCGGAAGGCGCGGGCCUUAGUGGCGGACGGGUGAGUAACGCGUGGGGAACCUGCCCCGUACCGGGGGAUAACACCUGGAAACAGGUGCUAAUACCGCAUAACAGAAGGGGACGCAUGUUUCUUUCUUGAAAACUCCGGUGGUACGGGAUGGACCCGCGUCUGAUUAGCUGGUUGGCGGGGUAACGGCCCACCAAGGCGACGAUCAGUAGCCGGCCUGAGAGGGCGGACGGCCACAUUGGGACUGAGACACGGCCCAAACUCCUACGGGAGGCAGCAG
This 279-nucleotide ribosomal RNA is filed under the name uncultured bacterium. RNAcentral's name for it is "partial 16S ribosomal RNA". It matches the Rfam family "Bacterial small subunit ribosomal RNA", at positions 71 to 354 of the family's 1533-position model. The record is from RNAcentral.